Molecule: small nuclear RNA, 164 nt
Organism: Molossus molossus (Pallas's mastiff bat)
Lineage: Eukaryota; Metazoa; Chordata; Mammalia; Chiroptera; Molossidae
Product: U1 spliceosomal RNA
Exons: 1
Source: RefSeq, a predicted model, not a curated record
AUACCUACCCGACAGAGGAGAGACCAUGAUCAUGAAGGUGGUUUUCUCAGGGAGCGGCUUAUCCAUAGCACUUUGGGUGUGCUGACCACUGCAAUUUCUCCAAAUGAGGGAAACUCUACUGCAUAAUCGGUGGUAGUGGGGGCCUGUGUUUAUGCUCUACCCUA